AUCGAACGCUGGCGGCAGGCCUAACACAUGCAAGUCGAGCGGAUGAAGCGAGCUUGCGCCUGGAUUCAGCGGCGGACGGGUGAGUAAUGCCUAGGAAUCUGCUUGGCAGUGGGGGAUAACGUCCGGAAACGGGCGCUAAUACCGCAUACGCCCUGCGGCAGAAACUGGGGGAUCUUCGGACCUCACGCUAUCAGAUGAGCUUAGGUCGGAUUAGCUAGUUGGUGGGGUAAAGGCCUACCAAGGAGACCAUCCGUAACUGGUCGGAGAGGAUGAUUAGUCACCUUGGAGGUUGAACACGCUCACGCGUCCUACGAGAGGCAGCAGUGGGGAAUGUUAGACAGUGGGCGAGAGCCUAGUACAGUCGGGCCGCGUGUGUGAAAAAGAUCUCCGGAUGGUAAAGCAGGUUAAGUUGGGGGAAAGGGCAUUAAGUUAAGACCUUGCUGUAGUGACGUUACCAACAGAAUAAGCACCGGCUAACUACGUG
This 484-nucleotide ribosomal RNA is filed under the name uncultured bacterium. RNAcentral describes it as "partial 16S ribosomal RNA". It matches the Rfam family "Bacterial small subunit ribosomal RNA", at positions 30 to 507 of the family's 1533-position model. The record is from RNAcentral.